This is a long non-coding RNA of Scylla paramamosain (green mud crab), 947 nucleotides long. RefSeq lists it as uncharacterized. Lineage: Eukaryota; Metazoa; Arthropoda; Malacostraca; Decapoda; Portunidae. The transcript is spliced from 4 exons. The record is from RefSeq and is a predicted model, not a curated record.
CUCUUUGAGACUGUCCUUCCUAGGCCACUGAAUUAUUUGAGAGACUCUAGCACAUAAGCAAGCAUCUAAAAAGUCAUAGGUGAGGACAGGUUUGUUGAGCAGUGAAAUGGUUCAUUACAAGCAGCAUCCCUCGCCACAACCUGAUGAUUUAACAUACUAUAACGACGCAAACACUGCUUAAAAGUAUACACAUUCUUCAGGUACAUUACUGUUGCAUAGUUAUGAGGUGCUCUGACGCACAUUCCCUGCCUAAUAUUCCGCGCCUUUAGCUGGCCUGCACGUACACUCAAGCACCACCACCCUUAUAAACGGCACCAGUGGCAGAGCGCAGGCCAGCACAAUCCCAGGCACCAUCGUUGCUACACCAGCGCUUGUCUCACUAACCCAGCUAGACCAUCACCACUGCCACACGAGCGCCUGUCGCACCAACUUAGGCUGAUCACCACUGCCACACCAGCGCCUGUCGCACCAAGCCAGUCAAACCAACACUCUUGAAGCACAGAAGCACCACAACUCAACGAUGAACUUCAAAAUCGUGCUGAUCGUGGUGCUGGUGGUGAUGGGGGCAAUGAUGGGAAGAGCGUUUCCCCGUCAAAGACAAUUUCCGGGCCAGAGACUGAGAGGGGCCACCAACUACGGCACCCACUCCUUUGGCCGCAACGGUUUCGACAGCAAACCUGUCUCCAGAUUUCACGAUAAUGAGCACUCCUUACAAAUUUAAAAGAAGCAUCCCUUCCACACAUCUUUCCCAAACAAUGGUCGUUUUGCCUGAAUGUUCCUCCUGCUCCUUACUCGCGGGGAUUGGUCCAGCCAUGUGUACUGUGGCCUAGACAUUGGAAGGUGUGGCACAGCACUCUUAAGUCAACCAUAUAUGUUAUGAAUGGUGCACUUGGCCUCGCAGUCCAGCUACACACAGGAGUGUCUAGGACUCUUACACUGUUUUUACA